Molecule: ribosomal RNA, 253 nt
Filed under: uncultured bacterium
Lineage: Bacteria
Description: partial 16S ribosomal RNA
Rfam family: Bacterial small subunit ribosomal RNA
Source: RNAcentral
GACGGAGGGAGCAAGCGUUGUUCGGAUUUACUGGGCGUAAAGGGCGUCUAGGCUGAUUUGAAAGUCAGAUGUGAAACCCCCCGGCUCAACCGGGGAACUGCAUUUGAUACUGCAAGUCUUGAGUACGGAAGAGGAGAGCGGAAUUCCUGGUGUAGCGGUGAAAUGCGUAGAUAUCAGGAAGAACACCGGUGGCGAAGGCGGCUCUCUGGUCCGAUACUGACGCUGAAGCGCGAAAGUGCGGGGAGCGAACAGG